CUCCGGAUGUUAGCGGCGGACGGGUGAGUAACACGUGGGUAACCUGCCUGUAAGACUGGGAUAACUCCGGGAAACCGGAGCUAAUACCGGAUAGUUCCUUGAACCGCAUGGUUCAAGGAUGAAAGACGGUUUCGGCUGUCACUUACAGAUGGACCCGCGGCGCAUUAGCUAGUUGGUGGGGUAAUGGCUCACCAAGGCGACGAUGCGUAGCCGACCUGAGAGGGUGAUCGGCCACACUGGGACUGAGACACGGCCCAGACUCCUACGGGAGGCAGCAGUAGGGAAUCUUCCGCAAUGGACGAAAGUCUGACGGAGCAACGCCGCGUGAGUGAUGAAGGUUUUCGGAUCGUAAAGCUCUGUUGUUAGGGAAGAACAAGUGCGAGAGUAACUGCUCGCACCUUGACGGUACCUAACCAGAAAGCCACGGCUAACUACGUGCC
This 440-nucleotide ribosomal RNA is filed under the name Bacillus pumilus. RNAcentral describes it as "bacterial SSU rRNA". It matches the Rfam family "Bacterial small subunit ribosomal RNA", at positions 83 to 509 of the family's 1533-position model. The record is from RNAcentral. Lineage: Bacteria; Bacillati; Bacillota; Bacilli; Caryophanales; Bacillaceae.